AGAGUUUGAUCCUGGCUCAGGACGAACGCUGGCGGCGUGCCUAAUACAUGCAAGUCGAGCGAGCUUGCCUAGAUGAUUUUAGUGCUUGCACUAAAUGAAACUAGAUACAAGCGAGCGGCGGACGGGUGAGUAACACGUGGGUAACCUGCCCAAGAGACUGGGAUAACACCUGGAAACAGAUGCUAAUACCGGAUAACAACACUAGACGCAUGUCUAGAGUUUGAAAGAUGGUUCUGCUAUCACUCUUGGAUGGACCUGCGGUGCAUUAGCUAGUUGGUAAGGUAACGGCUUACCAAGGCAAUGAUGCAUAGCCGAGUUGAGAGACUGAUCGGCCACAUUGGGACUGAGACACGGCCCAAACUCCUACGGGAGGCAGCAGUAGGGAAUCUUCCACAAUGGACGAAAGUCUGAUGGAGCAACGCCGCGUGAGUGAAGAAGGGUUUCGGCUCGUAAAGCUCUGUUGGUAGUGAAGAAAGAUAGAGGUAGUAACUGGCCUUUAUUUGACGGUAAUUACUUAGAAAGUCACGGCUAACUACGUGCCAGCAGCCGCGGUAAUACGUAGGUGGCAAGCGUUGUCCGGAUUUAUUGGGCGUAAAGCGAGUGCAGGCGGUUCAAUAAGUCUGAUGUGAAAGCCUUCGGCUCAACCGGAGAAUUGCAUCAGAAACUGUUGAACUUGAGUGCAGAAGAGGAGAGUGGAACUCCAUGUGUAGCGGUGGAAUGCGUAGAUAUAUGGAAGAACACCAGUGGCGAAGGCGGCUCUCUGGUCUGCAACUGACGCUGAGGCUCGAAAGCAUGGGUAGCGAACAGGAUUAGAUACCCUGGUAGUCCAUGCCGUAAACGAUGAG
RNAcentral lists this ribosomal RNA (845 nucleotides) under uncultured bacterium. RNAcentral's name for it is "bacterial SSU rRNA". It matches the Rfam family "Bacterial small subunit ribosomal RNA", at positions 8 to 813 of the family's 1533-position model. The record is from RNAcentral.